This 95-nucleotide microRNA precursor is filed under the name Populus trichocarpa (black cottonwood). RNAcentral's name for it is "MIR474 microRNA precursor family". It matches the Rfam family "MIR474 microRNA precursor family". Lineage: Eukaryota; Viridiplantae; Streptophyta; Magnoliopsida; Malpighiales; Salicaceae. The record is from Rfam by way of RNAcentral.
UCAAAAGCUGCUGGGUCUGGCUGGACAGCCAGACCCAAAUCGCUUCCAAUUGGUGCUGGGUUUGGCUGCUCAGCCAGACCCAGCAGCUUUUGGCA